This 292-nucleotide ribosomal RNA is filed under the name uncultured bacterium. Its description in RNAcentral is "partial 16S ribosomal RNA". It matches the Rfam family "Bacterial small subunit ribosomal RNA", at positions 505 to 796 of the family's 1533-position model. The record is from RNAcentral.
GUGUCAGCCGCCGCGGUAAUACGGAGGGUGCGAGCGUUGCUCGGAAUCACUGGGCGUAAAGCGUACGCAGGCGGCCGUGCAAGUCGGGUGUGAAAGCCCGGGGCUCAACCCCGGAAUUGCGCCCGAGACUGCUCGGCUUGAAUGCGGGAGAGGGAAGCGGAAUUCCUGGUGUAGAGGUGAAAUUCGUAGAUAUCAGGAGGAACACCAGUGGCGAAAGCGGCUUCCUGGCCCGACAUUGACGCUCAGGUACGAAAGCGCGGGGAGCAAACAGGAUUAGAAACCCGCGUAGUCC